Molecule: small RNA, 78 nt
Filed under: Enterobacter asburiae
Lineage: Bacteria; Pseudomonadati; Pseudomonadota; Gammaproteobacteria; Enterobacterales; Enterobacteriaceae
Also listed under: 1 other name
Description: isrK
Source: RNAcentral
GCACCUGCAAAAUCAGGUGUCGGGAUUGGCGUCCUGAUUACACACAUAUGGAAAGAUGUUGCUCAACGCAACGUCACU